UGGGGAAUUUUGGACAAUGGGCGAAAGCCUGAUCCAGCAAUGCCGCGUGUGUGAAGAAGGCCUUCGGGUUGUAAAGCACUUUUGUCCGGAAAGAAAUCCUUGGCUCUAAUACAGUCGGGGGAUGACGGUACCGGAAGAAUAAGCACCGGCUAACUACGUGCCAGCAGCCGCGGUAAUACGUAGGGUGCAAGCGUUAAUCGGAAUUACUGGGCGUAAAGCGUGCGCAGGCGGUUUGCUAAGGCCGAUGUGAAAUCCCCGGGCUCAACCUGGGAACUGCAUUGGUGACUGGCAGGCUAGAGUAUGGCAGAGGGGGGUAGAAUUCCACGUGUAGCAGUGAAAUGCGUAGAGAUGUGGAGGAAUACCGAUGGCGAAGGCAGCCCCCUGGACCAAUACUGACGCUCAUGCACGAAAGCGUGGGGAGCAAACAGGAUUAGAUACCCUGGUAGUCCACGCCCUAAACGAUGUCAACUAGUUGUUGGGGAUUCAUUUCCUUAGUAACGUAGCUAACGCGUGAAGUUGACCGCCU
This 526-nucleotide ribosomal RNA is filed under the name uncultured bacterium. RNAcentral's name for it is "partial 16S ribosomal RNA". It matches the Rfam family "Bacterial small subunit ribosomal RNA", at positions 355 to 874 of the family's 1533-position model. The record is from RNAcentral.